CCUACGGGAGGCAGCAGUGGGGGAUAUUGCACAAUGGGGGAAACCCUGAUGCAGCGACGCCGCGUGGGCGAAGAAGUAUUUCGGUAUGUAAAGCCCUAUCAGCAGGGAAGAAGAAAUGACGGUACCUGAGUAAGAAGCACCGGCUAAAUACGUGCCAGCAGCCGCGGUAAUACGUAUGGUGCAAGCGUUAUCCGGAUUUACUGGGUGUAAAGGGAGCGCAGGCGGCACGGCAAGCCUGAUGUGAAAGCCCGCGGCCCAACCGCGGGACUGCAUUGGGAACUACCGGGCUGGAGUGCCGGAGAGGUAGGCGGAAUUCCUAGUGUAGCGGUGAAAUGCGUAGAUAUUAGGAGGAACACCAGUGGCGAAGGCGGCUUACUGGACAGUAACUGACGUUGAGGCUCGAAAGCGUGGGGAGCAAACAGGAUUAGAUACCCUGGUAGUC
RNAcentral lists this ribosomal RNA (442 nucleotides) under uncultured bacterium. Its description in RNAcentral is "partial 16S ribosomal RNA". It matches the Rfam family "Bacterial small subunit ribosomal RNA", at positions 338 to 795 of the family's 1533-position model. The record is from RNAcentral.